ACUAAGCGUACACGGUGGAUGCCCUGGCAGUCAGAGGCGAUGAAGGACGUGCUAAUCUGCGAAAAGCGCCGGCGAGGUGAUAUGAACCCUUGACCCGGCGAUGUCCGAAUGGGGAAACCCAGUGCAAUCCGUUGCACUAUCGUUAACUGAAUACAUAGGUUAACGAGGCGAACCGGGGGAACUGAAACAUCUAAGUACCCCGAGGAAAAGAAAUCAACCGAGAUUCCCCCAGUAGCGGCGAGCGAACGGGGAGCAGCCCGGAGUCUGAAUCAGCUUGUGUGUUAGUGGAACGGUCUGGAAAGUCCGACGGUACAGGGUGAUAGUCCCGUACACGAAAGCACACAUGCUGUGAACUCGAAGAGUAGGGCGGGACACGUGGUAUCCUGUCUGAAUAUGGGGGGACCAUCCUCCAAGGCUAAAUACUCCUGACUGACCGAUAGUGAACCAGUACCGUGAGGGAAAGGCGAAAAGAACCCCGGCGAGGGGAGUGAAAAAGAACCUGAAACCGUGUACGUACAAGCAGUGGGAGCCUCUUUAUGGGGUGACUGCGUACCUUUUGUAUAAUGGGUCAGCGACUUAUAUUCUGUAGCAAGGUUAACCGUAUAGGGGAGCCGAAGGGAAACCGAGUCUUAACUGGGCGUUAAGUUGCAGGGUAUAGACCCGAAACCCGGUGAUCUAGCCAUGGGCAGGUUGAAGGUUGGGUAACACUAACUGGAGGACCGAACCGACUAAUGUUGAAAAAUUAGCGGAUGACCUGUGGCUGGGGGUGAAAGGCCAAUCAAACCGGGAGAUAGCUGGUUCUCCCCGAAAGCUAUUUAGGUAGCGCCUCGUGAACUCAUCUUCGGGGGUAGAGCACUGUUUCGGCUAGGGGGCCAUCCCGGCUUACCAACCCGAUGCAAACUACGAAUACCGAAGAAUGUUAUCACGGGAGACACACGGCGGGUGCUAACGUCCGUCGUGAAGAGGGAAACAACCCAGACCGCCAGCUAAGGUCCCAAAGUCAUGGUUAAGUGGGAAACGAUGUGGGAAGGCACAGACAGCCAGGAUGUUGGCUUAGAAGCAGCCAUCAUUUAAAGAAAGCGUAAUAGCUCACUGGUCGAGUCGGCCUGCGCGGAAGAUGUAACGGGGCUAAACCAUGCACCGAAGCUGCGGCAGCGACGCUUAUGCGUUGUUGGGUAGGGGAGCGUUCUGUAAGCCGUUGAAGGUGUGCUGUGAGGCAUGCUGGAGGUAUCAGAAGUGCGAAUGCUGACAUAAGUAACGAUAAAGCGGGUGAAAAGCCCGCUCGCCGGAAGACCAAGGGUUCCUGUCCAACGUUAAUCGGGGCAGGGUGAGUCGACCCCUAAGGCGAGGCCGAAAGGCGUAGUCGAUGGGAAACAGGUUAAUAUUCCUGUACUUGGUGUUACUGCGAAGGGGGGACGGAGAAGGCUAUGUCAGCCGGGCGACGGUUGUCCCGGUUUAAGCAUGUAGGCGGAGGUUCCAGGUAAAUCCGGUACCUUGUUAACGCUGAGGUGUGAUGACGAGGCACUACGGUGCUGAAGUGAUAAAUGCCCUGCUUCCAGGAAAAGCCUCUAAGCAUCAGGUAACACGAAAUCGUACCCCAAACCGACACAGGUGGUCAGGUAGAGAAUACCAAGGCGCUUGAGAGAACUCGGGUGAAGGAACUAGGCAAAAUGGUGCCGUAACUUCGGGAGAAGGCACGCUGAUGUGUAGGUGAAGCCCCUGCGGGCGGAGCUGAAAUCAGUCGAAGAUACCAGCUGGCUGCAACUGUUUAUUAAAAACACAGCACUGUGCAAACACGAAAGUGGACGUAUACGGUGUGACGCCUGCCCGGUGCCGGAAGGUUAAUUGAUGGGGUUAGCGGCAACGCGAAGCUCUUGAUCGAAGCCCCGGUAAACGGCGGCCGUAACUAUAACGGUCCUAAGGUAGCGAAAUUCCUUGUCGGGUAAGUUCCGACCUGCACGAAUGGCGUAAUGAUGGCCAGGCUGUCUCCACCCGAGACUCAGUGAAAUUGAACUCGCUGUGAAGAUGCAGUGUACCCGCGGCAAGACGGAAAGACCCCGUGAACCUUUACUAUAGCUUGACACUGAACACUGGUCCUUGAUGUGUAGGAUAGGUGGGAGGCUUUGAAGCGUGGACGCCAGUCUGCGUGGAGCCAACCUUGAAAUACCACCCUUUAAUGGCUGGUGUUCUAACGUAGACCCGUAAUCCGGGUUGCGGACAGUGUCUGGUGGGUAGUUUGACUGGGGCGGUCUCCUCCCAAAGAGUAACGGAGGAGCACGAAGGUUGGCUAAUCCUGGUCGGACAUCAGGAGGUUAGUGCAAUGGCAUAAGCCAGCUUGACUGCGAGCGUGACGGCGCGAGCAGGUGCGAAAGCAGGUCAUAGUGAUCCGGUGGUUCUGAAUGGAAGGGCCAUCGCUCAACGGAUAAAAGGUACUCCGGGGAUAACAGGCUGAUACCGCCCAAGAGUUCAUAUCGACGGCGGUGUUUGGCACCUCGAUGUCGGCUCAUCACAUCCUGGGGCUGAAGUAGGUCCCAAGGGUAUGGCUGUUCGCCAUUUAAAGUGGUACGCGAGCUGGGUUUAGAACGUCGUGAGACAGUUCGGUCCCUAUCUGCCGUGGGCGCUGGAGAAUUGAGGGGGGCUGCUCCUAGUACGAGAGGACCGGAGUGGACGCAUCACUGGUGUUCGGGUUGUCAUGCCAAUGGCACUGCCCGGUAGCUAAAUGCGGAAGAGAUAAGUGCUGAAAGCAUCUAAGCACGAAACUUGCCCCGAGAUGAGUUCUCCCUGAGACCUUGAGUCUCCUGAAGGAACGUUGAAGACGACGACGUUGAUAGGUCGGGUGUGUAAGCGCAGCGAUGCGUUGAGCUAACCGAUACUAAUGAACCGUGAGGCUUAACC
This 2895-nucleotide ribosomal RNA is filed under the name Enterobacter cloacae. RNAcentral's name for it is "bacterial LSU rRNA". It matches the Rfam family "Bacterial large subunit ribosomal RNA". The record is from RNAcentral. Lineage: Bacteria; Pseudomonadati; Pseudomonadota; Gammaproteobacteria; Enterobacterales; Enterobacteriaceae.